UCGUGGAGUGAUCUGUCUGGUUAAUUCCGAUAACGAGCGAGACCCACGCCUGCUAAAUAGUCGGGCGCUCCUCGGAGGCGCUCGCUAGACUUCUUAGAGGGAUUCGCGACGAACCGUAGUCGUGUGAAAGUGGGCGAUAACA
This 142-nucleotide ribosomal RNA is filed under the name uncultured eukaryote. Its description in RNAcentral is "partial 18S ribosomal RNA". It matches the Rfam family "Eukaryotic small subunit ribosomal RNA", at positions 1299 to 1458 of the family's 1831-position model. The record is from RNAcentral.